This 468-nucleotide ribosomal RNA is filed under the name uncultured bacterium. RNAcentral's name for it is "partial 16S ribosomal RNA". It matches the Rfam family "Bacterial small subunit ribosomal RNA", at positions 28 to 507 of the family's 1533-position model. The record is from RNAcentral.
GACGAACGCUGGCGGCGUGCUUAACACAUGCAAGUCGAACGGAAAGGCCCUGCUUUUGUGGGGUGCUCGAGUGGCGAACGGGUGAGUAACACGUGAGUAACCUGCCCUUGACUUUGGGAUAACUUCAGGAAACUGGGGCUAAUACCGGAUAGGAGCUCCUGCUGCAUGGUGGGGGUUGGAAAGUUUCGGCGGUUGGGGAUGGACUCGUGGCUUAUCAGCUUGUUGGUGGGGGAGUGGCUUACCAAGGCUUUGACGGGUAGCCGGCCUGAGAGGGUGACCGGCCAGAUUGGGACUGAGAUACGGCGCAGACUCCUACGGGAGGCAGAAGUGGGGAAGAUUGCAGAAUGGGCGGAAGCCUGAGGCAGCAACGCCGCGUGCGGGAGGAUGGCCUUCGGGUUGGAAACCGCUUUCGCCGGUGAAGAAGUGUGAGUGAGGGUAAUGGGUAAAGAAGCACCGGCUAACUACGUG